CCCUUAGAUGUCCGGGGCCGCACGCGCGCUACACUGAAGGAAUCAGCGUGGCUUUCUCCCUGACCCGAAAGGGUUGGGAAACCCGUUGAAUCUCCUUCGUGAUAGGGAUUGGGGCUUGAAAUUGUUCCCCAUGAACGAGGAAUUCCCAGUAAGCGCGAGUCAUAAGCUCGCGUUGAUUACGUCCCUGCCCUUUGUACACACCGCCCGUCGCUACUACCGAUUGAACGGUUUAGUGAGGGCCUCGGGUUGGUCUCGGCCCGCUCUUUACCGGGCGGCGCCGUUGGUCGAGAAGACGCUCGAACUUGAUCGUUUAGAGGAAGUAAAAGUCGUAACA
RNAcentral lists this ribosomal RNA (334 nucleotides) under uncultured eukaryote. RNAcentral describes it as "partial 18S ribosomal RNA". It matches the Rfam family "Eukaryotic small subunit ribosomal RNA", at positions 1470 to 1796 of the family's 1831-position model. The record is from RNAcentral.